This 1939-nucleotide unclassified non-coding RNA is filed under the name Hevea brasiliensis (rubber tree). Lineage: Eukaryota; Viridiplantae; Streptophyta; Magnoliopsida; Malpighiales; Euphorbiaceae. The record is from RNAcentral.
CACCAAAGUUACAACAUUUAAGGUUUGUUUCUUGGAUCUCAAUCAUGUUUCUGUCUCUUCCAUUAUUAUGUAACUGUCUUGUUAGAUCUCGUCUUUGUUUGUUAUCUGUGUGUGCAUGCGAAUCUAUGUAGUUGCUGUUUUGGGCAUUUACAAUCACAAGGCAUGAACUUUUUGAAUUCCCCAGUUUUGUUUUAUUGGCGGAAUCCAUUGAUUUCAAAUUUCCCAAAACAUGAAUCGAAUUGGUUGUGGUUUUGUUAAUGGGUUCUCUUGGUUUGGAUUAAAGAUUUUUGGUGUGCAAGAUAAUAUCUUAAUUUUACUUGGGGUUUUAUGGUUGAUUGGUUUCUGGACAGUCUAGAAUUGGGAUUUGGGUUAAUGGGUCUAUAAGAUCGGCAUUGUGUGAUGCCUUUUACUGUGGUUUUUGUCUGGUUCUGCUGAUUGCUGAACCAUAGACGUCUCAAAUCAGAGCAGUUGUCAUUUGAACACCCAGAUAAGUUAUAAGAUGUAGGAGAAAUCCUUUGAUUCCAAAUUCCAAAGGAAUGUGAUUCAGACACUUCAGCCUGUGUCUGUGCGUAUGACUGGAAAAGAUUGUGGUCUAUUCUUCAAGAAUGAUUGUAAUGUUCAGUUUUUAUUUUUUUUUAAUUUUUUUAUGAAGGGCUUUUUUUUCUUCACCAUAAUUAGAUUCUACAUCAUGUGCUUUUGGGUAUGCAUGUUGUCCGCAAGUUUUUCCAAAGUUGUAAACUUGUCUAACCUCAGUGCAAUGAAUUAUGCCCCCCAUGGAAGUUUUGGGCAUAGUAAUUAUCAUGGUAGUUUAAUAUAUUCUUUCAUCUGUGCCAAACUAGCAUAUUCUUGUGUGAAUUGGUUGGUUUCCUUAUACUGUCUUGAACGACCUCUCAUAUACUUUAGGACUGUAAAGAGACUUGCUUAUACCCUAGUAGCAAAAAUGAUUUUAAUUGCUCUGAUCGUUUUAGUCAGAACGGUAGAGUUGUAUGUAAAUGUCCUUCUUGCUAUAGAAAUCUAUUUGAAAGAUCAAGAUGUAAAAAAUGUAUCACUUGGAAGUCCUGUUUGGUUAUAGUUUUAUUAGGCCAUAUAUGUUACAAACACAAAGAAGGAUGACGUGCUAAUGGAUAUGAAUUAAGAGAAUCCAAUUUUAAAGUUCUCAAGUAGGAAAAGGAAAAUACGAGAUGACGUCUUGGUUGCAAUUAAUUGUGAGUUGUGUCUUUCUAAAUCUUGUAACUGUUCCAUUCAAAGUAACCAUACCAGAAAUGAGAUUUAUUUUGUUCUAAAGGCACCCGAAGAGAGAAUCAGCAUUGGCAGUGCCUAGUUUAAUUUGUGGAUGAGCAGUACGUGCUUCAAAUUCAUGUUUAAAAGUCUUAUUUGGUGAAUGCUAUUCUAAUUUCUCCAACAUAGUCAAGUCCAGUAGUGGGCUCCUUAUAACUGAUUAACCAUUUUCUUGUUCCAAUAUGAGGAACUUUCAAGGUUUAUUCAUUCCCACUGCAUGUUUGUAUGAAUUCAUUCCUGGCACGAUUAAUCUUGUUUGUUAUGAUGUGAUGAUGAAGAACAUUUGUGUGAUGAAUGUGAAACUCUUUAGUACUUUAGUAAUAUUUAUAAGCAGGAAUUUCUGCCUUUAUAAUGCAGUUUAUUCUGUUUAAGAAAUUGGAAUCCACUCUCAAAUUUUAUGGCAAUAUACUUGAAAUAGAAGAAAAUAAAAUGACAGAAGUUAUUGCCCUUUAUCUAAAAUGGUAAAAGAAUGGAGUGAGAUUGAACUUAGUUCAAAUCUUGCCAUUUUAGGGACAAAAGCUGUGAAAGAGAAAGAAAUAGAACAAAGAAAAGGUUGUUGAUUCAUAACUUCCUUGUGAUAAAUCUAGAUUUUGGCAUCUUAUGUGAAAAAUGAAGUAAAAUGAGGAUAAACAUGAUUGUGCUAUUUUUGGAUAUAUAUAUG